CAGUGGCGCGAAGCUACCGUGCGUUGGAUUAUGACUGAACGCCUCUAAGUCAGAAUCCGGGGCUAGACCGACGCAUUGCGCUCGGUCGCCCGUUUGCGCGACGCCGCAGUAGGGGCCAUUUGGCCCCAAGGGCACGUGUCGUUGGCUAAGCCGUCGUGGCGGAAGGGUCACGGUGGCCGCCUUGAAUUACAAUUCCGAUCGAGCGGCGAGCUGAAUCCUUUGCAGACGACUUAAAUACGCGACGGGGUAUUGUAAGGGGUAGAGUGGCCUUGCUGCCACGAUCCUCUGAGAUUCAGCCCUUUGUCGCUCCGAUUCGU
Molecule: non-coding RNA, 317 nt
Filed under: Ipomoea nil (Japanese morning glory)
Lineage: Eukaryota; Viridiplantae; Streptophyta; Magnoliopsida; Solanales; Convolvulaceae
Description: Eukaryotic large subunit ribosomal RNA
Rfam family: Eukaryotic large subunit ribosomal RNA
Source: Rfam by way of RNAcentral